This 468-nucleotide ribosomal RNA is filed under the name uncultured bacterium. Its description in RNAcentral is "partial 16S ribosomal RNA". It matches the Rfam family "Bacterial small subunit ribosomal RNA", at positions 28 to 507 of the family's 1533-position model. The record is from RNAcentral.
GACGAACGCUGGCGGCGCGCCUAACACAUGCAAGUCGAACGGAGUCAAGAGGAGCUUGCUUUUCUUGACUUAGUGGCGAACGGGUGAGUAACGCGUGAGUAACCUGCCCUGGAGUGGGGGACAAUAGUUGGAAACGACUGCUAAUACCGCAUAAGCUCACGGAUCCGCAUGGAUCUGCGGGAAAAGGAUUUAUUCGCUUCAGGAUGGACUCGCGUCCAAUUAGCUAGUUGGUGAGGUAACGGCCCACCAAGGCGACGAUUGGUAGCCGGACUGAGAGGUUGAACGGCCACAUUGGGACUGAGACACGGCCCAGACUCCUACGGGAAGCAGCAGUGGGGGAUAUUGCACAAUGGGGGAAACCCUGAUGCAGCGACGCCGCGGGGAGGAAGAAGGUUUUCGGAUUGUAAACUCCUGUCGUUAGAGACGAUAAUGACGGUACCUAACAAGAAAGCACCGGCUAACUACGUG